CUACGGGGCGCUGCAGUGGGGAAUAUUGGACAAUGGGGGGAACCCUGAUGCAGCAACGCCGCGUGGAGGAUGACGCAUUUCGGUGUGUAAACUCCUUUUAUAUGUCAAGAAAAUGACGGUAGCAUAUGAAUAAGCACCGGCUAACUCCGUGCCAGCAGCCGCGGUAAUACGGAGGGUGCAAGCGUUACUCGGAAUCACUGGGCGUAAAGGACGCGUAGGCGGGUUGGAAAGUCAGGUGUGAAAUCCUACAGCUUAACUGUAGAACUGCACUUGAAACUUCUAAUCUAGAGUAUGGGAGGGGGAGAUGGAAUUAGUGGUGUAGGGGUAAAAUCCGUAGAUAUCACUAGGAAUACCUAAAGCGAAGGCGAUCUCCUGGAACAUUACUGACGCUAAGGCGUGAAAGCGUGGGGAGCAAACAGGAUUAGAUACCCGUGUAGUC
This 439-nucleotide ribosomal RNA is filed under the name uncultured bacterium. RNAcentral describes it as "partial 16S ribosomal RNA". It matches the Rfam family "Bacterial small subunit ribosomal RNA", at positions 339 to 795 of the family's 1533-position model. The record is from RNAcentral.